This 455-nucleotide ribosomal RNA is filed under the name Teichospora radicans. Its description in RNAcentral is "LSU rRNA". It matches the Rfam family "Eukaryotic large subunit ribosomal RNA", at positions 72 to 534 of the family's 3401-position model. The record is from RNAcentral. Lineage: Eukaryota; Fungi; Ascomycota; Dothideomycetes; Pleosporales; Teichosporaceae.
GGAUUGCCUCAGUAACGGCGAGUGAAGCGGCAACAGCUCAAAUUUGAAAUCUGGCCCCCUCNGGCCGAGUUGUAAUUUGCAGAGGGUGCUUUGGUGUUGGCUGUGGUCCAAGUUCCCUGGAACAGGACGUCGCAGAGGGUGAGAACCCCGUACGUGGCCGCCAGCCUUCGCCGUGUAAAGCCCCUUCGAAGAGUCGAGUUGUUUGGGAAUGCAGCUCUAAAUGGGAGGUAAAUUCCUUCUAAAGCUAAAUAUUGGCCAGAGACCGAUAGCGCACAAGUAGAGUGAUCGAAAGAUGAAAAGCACUUUGGAAAGAGAGUGAAACAGCACGUGAAAUUGUUGAAAGGGAAGCGCUUGGAGCCAGACGUGCCCGCAGUUGCUCAGCCGGGGUUCUCCCCGUGCACUCUUCUGCGGGCAGGCCAGCAUCAGUCUGGGCGGUCGGACAAAGGCCUGCUAAA